RNAcentral lists this ribosomal RNA (425 nucleotides) under uncultured bacterium. RNAcentral describes it as "partial 16S ribosomal RNA". It matches the Rfam family "Bacterial small subunit ribosomal RNA", at positions 354 to 796 of the family's 1533-position model. The record is from RNAcentral.
GUGGGGAAUAUUGGGCAAUGGGCGAAAGCCUGACCCAGCAACGCCGUGUGAAGGAAGAAGGUCUUCGGAUCGUAAACUUCUAUCCUUGGUGAAGAUAAUGACGGUAGCCGAGAAGGAAGCCCCGGCUAACUACGUGCCAGCAGCCGCGGUAAUACGUAGGGGGCAAGCGUUGUCCGGAAUGAUUGGGCGUAAAGGGCGCGUAGGCGGCCUGGUAAGUCUGGAGUGAAAGUCCUGCUUUUAAGGUGGGAAUUGCUUUGGAUACUGUCGGGCUUGAGUGCAGGAGAGGUAAGUGGAAUUCCCGGUGUAGCGGUGAAAUGCGUAGAGAUCGGGAGGAACACCAGUGGCGAAGGCGACUUACUGGACUGUAACUGACGCUGAGGCGCGAAAGUGUGGGGAGCAAACAGGAUUAGAAACCCCUGUAGUCC